UAGUCCACACCGUAAACGCUGUCUACUAGCUGUGUGUGAAUUUAAUUCGUGCGUAGCGAAGCUAACGCGAUAAGUAGACCGCCUGGGGAGUACGGCCGCAAGGUUAAAACUCAAAUGAAUUGACGGGGGCCCGCACAAGCGGUGGAGCAUGUGGUUUAAUUCGAUGCAACGCGAAGAACCUUACCUGGGCUUGACAUGUGCUGAAUCUUAACGAAAGUUGAGAGUGCCGCAAGGAACAGCAACACAGGUGGUGCACGGUUGUCGUCAGCUCGUGUCGUGAGAUGUUGGGUUAAGUCCCGCAACGAGCGCAACCCUCGUGAUUUGUUGUUACAGAGCGAAAGCUGCUGAACCCUCAAAUCAGACUGCCCGUGACAAGCGGGGAGGAAGGUGGGGGAUGACGUCAAAUCAUCAUGCCCCUUAUGUCCAGGGGCUACACACGUGUUACAAUGGGGACAGGACAAUGGGGUAGCUUGGGCAGCGAU
This 482-nucleotide ribosomal RNA is filed under the name uncultured bacterium. Its description in RNAcentral is "bacterial SSU rRNA". It matches the Rfam family "Bacterial small subunit ribosomal RNA", at positions 791 to 1261 of the family's 1533-position model. The record is from RNAcentral.